Molecule: transfer RNA, 66 nt
Filed under: Stegodyphus mimosarum
Lineage: Eukaryota; Metazoa; Arthropoda; Arachnida; Araneae; Eresidae
Rfam family: tRNA
About the family: Transfer RNA (tRNA) molecules are approximately 80 nucleotides in length. Their secondary structure includes four short double-helical elements and three loops (D, anti-codon, and T loops).
Source: Rfam by way of RNAcentral
GCCUUCGUGGUGUAGUGGUCAACACGUGUAUUCGAGAAGUCAGUGGUUCGAGUCCCGGCGAGGGCA